GCCUCUCCCCUCGAAUCCUAGUAAAAGGCAAAAUUCUACUUUACGAGAUUAGUGGUACAAACCAGUUUAAUUAUCCUCUACUGGCCCUCAGUGGCCUUCCAUGCAUGACAAAAGCCUUUGCCGACCAUAGCCAAAAUAUCAAAGGUUUCAUCAUGGCACUCAAGGCCUUCACUUCCUCAAACCUUUUUCCAUCAACCAAUGGCCCUCCUUCCUUA
Molecule: long non-coding RNA, 215 nt
Filed under: Elaeis guineensis (African oil palm)
Lineage: Eukaryota; Viridiplantae; Streptophyta; Magnoliopsida; Arecales; Arecaceae
Description: long non-coding RNA (EGUI_LNC027321)
Source: RNAcentral